RNAcentral lists this transfer RNA (70 nucleotides) under Branchiostoma japonicum (Japanese lancelet). RNAcentral describes it as "tRNA-Phe". The record is from RNAcentral. Lineage: Eukaryota; Metazoa; Chordata; Leptocardii; Amphioxiformes; Branchiostomatidae.
GGCAUGUAUAAGUUAAUUAGACUAUUACCUUGAAAAGGUAAAUGUAAACGGCAAAUAUGUUUUUCUGCCA